RNAcentral lists this transfer RNA (75 nucleotides) under Rhodospirillaceae bacterium. RNAcentral describes it as "tRNA-Cys". It matches the Rfam family "tRNA". From Rfam's summary of the family: Transfer RNA (tRNA) molecules are approximately 80 nucleotides in length. Their secondary structure includes four short double-helical elements and three loops (D, anti-codon, and T loops). RNAcentral also lists the same sequence under 1 other name. Lineage: Bacteria; Pseudomonadati; Pseudomonadota; Alphaproteobacteria; Rhodospirillales; Rhodospirillaceae. The record is from RNAcentral.
GGCCGGGUGGCAGAGUGGCUCAUGCGGAGGACUGCAAAUCCUUUUAUGCCGGUUCGAUUCCGGCCCCGGCCUCCA